AGUUUUAUUCUACAAGCAUUAAGAAAUUAGCUGUAAAUCUGUCUUUGUACUAAAGUGUGGAUCUGAUGUUUUUAUCCCUCUGUGUUAAAGUGAUGAUUUAAUGUUUCAAUUGAAUGAUGGACGUGUCAUUAAUUCCACUUUUUCUCAUCACAUUCAAGGCAGCUGAGUUCAAUGUAUGCAGGAUAGAGGUUAUCUAUCAUGGCCACCUCAAGUUAAGGAUGUAGACCUAGGUUAAGGGAGGUAACUCUUAAAAAUCAUCAGUA
RNAcentral lists this long non-coding RNA (263 nucleotides) under Mytilus galloprovincialis (Mediterranean mussel). The record is from RNAcentral. Lineage: Eukaryota; Metazoa; Mollusca; Bivalvia; Mytilida; Mytilidae.